AUUGAACGCUGGCGGCAGGCCUAACACAUGCAAGUCGAGCGGAUGAAGGGAGCUUGCUCCUGGAUUCCGCGGCGGACGGGUGAGUAAUUCAUAGGAAUCUGCCUUGUCUUGGGGGAUAACGUCCGUAAACGGGCGCUAAUACCGCAUACGUCCUGAUGUAGAAAGUGGGGGAUCUUCGGACCUCACGGUAUCAGAUGAGCCUAGGUCGGAUUAGCUAGUUGGUUGGGUAAAGGCCUACCAAGGCGACGAUCCGUAACUGGGCUGAGAGGAUGAUCAGUCACACUGGAACUGAGACACGGUCCAGACUCCUACGGGAGGCAGCAGUGGGGAAUAUUGGACAAUGGGCGAAAGCCUGAUGCAGCCAUGCCGCGUGAGUGAAGAAGGUCUUCGGAUUGUAAAGCACUUUUAGUUGGGAGGAAGAGAAGUGAGUUAAUACCUGGCUGUUUUGACGGUACCAACAGAAUAAGCACCGGCUAACUUCGUG
Molecule: ribosomal RNA, 484 nt
Filed under: uncultured bacterium
Lineage: Bacteria
Description: partial 16S ribosomal RNA
Rfam family: Bacterial small subunit ribosomal RNA
Source: RNAcentral